CACAGUGUAGCAAUACAUGGGUGGCGACCGGCAAACGGGUGCGGAACACGUACGCAACCUUCCUUCAGGCGGGGAAUAGCCCAGAGAAAUUUGGAUUAAUACCCCAUAAUAUUUUGAGAUGGCAUCAUCUUAUUAUUGAAGCUACGGCACCUGGAGAUGGGCGUGCGGCUGAUUAGGUAGUUGGCGGGGUAAUGGCCCACCAAGCCUACGAUCAGUAGCUGAUGUGAGAGCAUGAUCAGCCACACGGGCACUGAGACACGGGCCCGACUCCUACGGGAGGCAGCAGUAAGGAAUAUUGGUCAAUGGACGCAAGUCUGAACCAGCCAUGCCGCGUGGAGGAUGAAGGUCCUCUGGAUUGUAAACUUCUUUUAUCUGGGACGAAAAAAGGGUUUUCUAACUCGUCUGACGGUACCAGAUGAAUAAGCACCGGCUAACUCCGUGCCAGCAGCCGCGGUAAUACGGAGGGUGCAAGCGUUAUCCGGAUUCACUGGGUUUAAAGGGUGCGUAGGCGGGCAUUUAAGUCAGUGGUGAAAUACCUGAGCUUAACUUGGGAACUGCCAUUGAUACUAUUUGUCUUGAAUGUCGUGGAGGUUAGCGGAAUAUGUCAUGUAGCGGUGAAAUGCUUAGAUAUAACAUAGAACACCUAUUGCGAAGGCAGCUAACUACGCGAAUAUUGACGCUGAGGCACGAAAGCGUGGGGAUCAAACAGGAUUAGAUACCCUGGUAGUCCACGCCCUAAACGAUGAUUACUCGACAUUAGCGAUACACUGUUAGUGUCUGAGCG
This 784-nucleotide ribosomal RNA is filed under the name uncultured bacterium. Its description in RNAcentral is "SSU rRNA". It matches the Rfam family "Bacterial small subunit ribosomal RNA", at positions 70 to 853 of the family's 1533-position model. The record is from RNAcentral.